AGAGUUUGAUCCUGGCUCAGGAUGAACGCUAGCUACAGGCUUAACACAUGCAAGUCGAGGGGCAGCAUGGUCUUAGCUUGCUAAGGCCGAUGGCGACCGGCGCACGGGUGAGUAACACGUAUCCAACCUGCCGUCUACUCUUGGACAGCCUUCUGAAAGGAAGAUUAAUACAAGAUGGCAUCAUGAGUCCGCAUGUUCACAUGAUUAAAGGUAUUCCGGUAGACGAUGGGGAUGCGUUCCAUUAGAUAGUAGGCGGGGUAACGGCCCACCUAGUCUUCGAUGGAUAGGGGUUCUGAGAGGAAGGUCCCCCACAUUGGAACUGAGACACGGUCCAAACUCCUACGGGAGGCAGCAGUGAGGAAUAUUGGUCAAUGGGCGAGAGCCUGAACCAGCCAAGUAGCGUGAAGGAUGACUGCCCUAUGGGUUGUAAACUUCUUUUAUAAAGGAAUAAAGUCGGGUAUGCAUACCCGUUUGCAUGUACUUUAUGAAUAAGGAUCGGCUAACUCCGUGCCAGCAGCCGCGGUAAUACGGAGGAUCCGAGCGUUAUCCGGAUUUAUUGGGUUUAAAGGGAGCGUAGAUGGAUGUUUAAGUCAGUUGUGAAAGUUUGCGGCUCAACCGUAAAAUUGCAGUUGAUACUGGAUAUCUUGAGUGCAGUUGAGGCAGGCGGAAUUCGUGGUGUAGCGGUGAAAUGCUUAGAUAUCACGAAGAACUCCGAUUGCGAAGGCAGCCUGCUAAGCUGCAACUGACAUUGAGGCUCGAAAGUGUGGGUAUCAAACAGGAUUAGAUACCCUGGUAGUCCACACGGUAAACGAUGAAUACUCGCUGUUUGCGAUAUACGGCAAGCGGCCAAGCGAAAGCGUUAAGUAUUCCACCUGGGGAGUACGCCGGCAACGGUGAAACUCAAAGGAAUUGACGGGGGCCCGCACAAGCGGAGGAACAUGUGGUUUAAUUCGAUGAUACGCGAGGAACCUUACCCGGGCUUAAAUUGCAGAUGAAUUACGGUGAAAGCCGUAAGCCGCAAGGCAUCUGUGAAGGUGCUGCAUGGUUGUCGUCAGCUCGUGCCGUGAGGUGUCGGCUUAAGUGCCAUAACGAGCGCAACCCUUGUUGUCAGUUACUAACAGGUUCCGCUGAGGACUCUGACAAGACUGCCAUCGUAAGAUGUGAGGAAGGUGGGGAUGACGUCAAAUCAGCACGGCCCUUACGUCCGGGGCUACACACGUGUUACAAUGGGGGGUACAGAGGGCCGCUACCACGCGAGUGGAUGCCAAUCCCAAAAACCUCUCUCAGUUCGGACUGGAGUCUGCAACCCGACUCCACGAAGCUGGAUUCGCUAGUAAUCGCGCAUCAGCCACGGCGCGGUGAAUACGUUCCCGGGCCUUGUACACACCGCCCGUCAAGCCAUGGGAGCCGGGGGUACCUGAAGUGCGUAACCGCGAGGAGCGCCCUAGGGUAAAACUGGUGACUGGGGCUAAGUCGUAACAAGGUAGCCGUACCGGAAGGUGCGGCUG
RNAcentral lists this ribosomal RNA (1508 nucleotides) under Phocaeicola vulgatus. RNAcentral describes it as "bacterial SSU rRNA". It matches the Rfam family "Bacterial small subunit ribosomal RNA". Lineage: Bacteria; Pseudomonadati; Bacteroidota; Bacteroidia; Bacteroidales; Bacteroidaceae. RNAcentral also lists the same sequence under 1 other name. The record is from RNAcentral.